UAAAUUGCCCAAUCUCGGCUCGGGGAGGUAGUGACGAAAAAUAACAAUACGGGACUCUUUUGAGACCCCGUAAUUGGAAUGAGUACACUCUAAAUCCUUUAACGAGGAUCCAUUGGAGGGAAAGUCUGGUGCCAGCCGCCGCGGUAACUCUAGCUCCAAUAGCGUAUAUUAAAGUUGUUGCGGUUAAAAAGCUCGUAGUUGGAUCUCAGUUCCAGACGGAUGGUCCGCCUACCGGUGGUUGCUGUCCGGUCUGAGCAUUGCCGCCGGAAUUGUCUGAUGAUCUUUACCGGUUGUUGUUCGGUUCCGGCAAUUUUACUUUGAAAAAAUUAGAGUGCUCAAAGCAUGCGUGACGCAUGAAUAAUGGUGCAUGGAAUAAUGGAAUAGGACCUCGGUUCUAUUUUGUUGGUUUUCGGAACAAGAGGUAAUGAUUAAGAGGGACAGACGGGGGCAUUCGUAUUGCGACGCUAGAGGUGAAAUUCUUGGACCGUCGCAAGACGAACUACUGCGAAAGCAUUUGCCAAGAAUGUUUCCAUUAAUCAAGAACGAAAGUUAGAGGUUCGAAGGCGAUCAGAUACCGCCCUAGUUCUAACCAUAAACGAUGCCAGCCAGCGAUCCGGCUGUGUUCCUCAAAUGACACGCCGGGCAGCUUCCGGGAAACCAAAGCUUUUGGGUUCCGGGGGAAGUAUGGUUGCAAAGCUGAAACUUAAAGGAAUUGACGGAAGGGCACUACCAGGAAUGGAGCCUG
This 745-nucleotide ribosomal RNA is filed under the name uncultured marine eukaryote. Its description in RNAcentral is "SSU rRNA". It matches the Rfam family "Eukaryotic small subunit ribosomal RNA", at positions 437 to 1185 of the family's 1831-position model. The record is from RNAcentral.